ACAGCAGUCGCCGCGGGAAUACGUAGGGUGCAAGCGUUAAUCGGAAUUACUGGGCGUAAAGCGUGCGCAGGCGGUUUGUUAAGACAGAUGUGAAAUCCCCGGGCUCAACCUGGGAACUGCAUUUGUGACUGGCAAGCUAGAGUCUGGCAGAGGGGGGUGGAAUUCCGCGUGUAGCAGUGAAAUGCGUAGAUAUGCGGAGGAACACCGAUGGCGAAGGCAGCCCCCUGGGCCAACACUGACGCUCAUGCACGAAAGCGUGGGGAGCAAACAGGAUUAGAUACCCCGGUAGUCCCUGUCUCUUAUAC
Molecule: ribosomal RNA, 305 nt
Filed under: uncultured bacterium
Lineage: Bacteria
Description: partial 16S ribosomal RNA
Rfam family: Bacterial small subunit ribosomal RNA
Source: RNAcentral